Molecule: small RNA, 18 nt
Filed under: Arabidopsis thaliana (thale cress)
Lineage: Eukaryota; Viridiplantae; Streptophyta; Magnoliopsida; Brassicales; Brassicaceae
Description: AGO1_2903
Source: RNAcentral
UUGAAAGUGACUACAUCG